UGGGUCUGCGUUUCAUUAGCUUGUUGGCGGGGUAACGGCCCACCAAGGCUACGAUGAAUAGCCGGCCUGAGAGGGUGAUCGGCCACACUGGGACUGAGAUACGGCCCAGACUCCUACGGGAGGCAGCAGUAGGGAAUAUUGCGCAAUGGACGCAAGUCUGACGCAGCAACGCCGCGUGGGUGAUGAAGCAUCUUGGUGUGUAAAACCCUGUCAGUGGGGAUGAAACGUACGGGUAGUAACUGAUUCGUACCUGACGGUACCCACAGAGGAAGUUCCGGCUAACUCCGUGCCAGCAGCCGCGGUAAUACGGGGGGAACAAGCGUUGUUCGGAUUUACUGGGCGUAAAGGGCGCGUAGGCGGGCCUUCAAGUCGGUUGUGAAAACUUCGAGCUUAACUCGGAGCCUGCAUUCGAUACUGUUGGUCUUGAGUACAGGAGAGGAAAGUGGAAUUCCAGGUGUAGCGGUGAAAUGCGUAGAUAUCUGGAAGAACACCAGUAGCGAAGGCGGCUUCCUGGCCCGAUACUGACACUGAGGCACGAAAGCUAGGGGAGCAAACAGGAUUAGAUACCCUGG
RNAcentral lists this ribosomal RNA (572 nucleotides) under uncultured Gram-positive bacterium. RNAcentral describes it as "bacterial SSU rRNA". It matches the Rfam family "Bacterial small subunit ribosomal RNA", at positions 226 to 790 of the family's 1533-position model. The record is from RNAcentral.